GACGAACGCUGGCGGCGUGCUUAACACAUGCAAGUCGAACGGAAAGGCCCUGCUUUUGUGGGGUGCUCGAGUGGCGAACGGGUGAGUAACACGUGAGUAACCUGCCCUUGACUUUGGGAUAACUUCAGGAAACUGGGGCUAAUACCGGAUAGGAGCUCCUGCUGCAUGGUGGUGGUUGGAAAGUUUCGGCGGUUGUGGAUGGACUCGCGGCUUAUCAGCUUGUUUGUGGGGUUGUGACUUACCCAGGGUUUGAGGGGUAGCCGGCCUGAGAGGGUGGCCAGGGACAUUGGGACUGAGGGACGGACCAGAAUCCUAUGGGCGGCAGAGGUGGGGAGUAUUGCGCAAUAGGGGCGAGCGUGAUAUGGAGGCGCCGCGUGCGGGAAGACGGGCUUUGGGUGGUGAACAGCUUUCGCCUGUGACGCGGCGUGAGUGACGGUAAUGGGUAAAAAAGCACCGGCUAACUACGUG
Molecule: ribosomal RNA, 468 nt
Filed under: uncultured bacterium
Lineage: Bacteria
Description: partial 16S ribosomal RNA
Rfam family: Bacterial small subunit ribosomal RNA
Source: RNAcentral